GACGAACGCUGGCGGCGUGCUUAACACAUGCAAGUCGAACGGAAAGGCCCUGCUUUUGUGGGGUGCUCGAGUGGCGAACGGGUGCGUAACACGUGAGUAACCUGCCCUUGACUUUGGGAUAACUUCAGGAAACUGGGGCUAAUACCGGCUAGGAGCUCCUGCUGCAUGGUGGGGGUUGGAAAGUUUCGGCGGUUGGGGAUGGAAUCGCGGCUUAUCAGCUUGUUGGUGGGGUAGUGGCUUACCAAGGCUUUGACGGGUAGCCGGCCUGAGAGGGUGACCGGCCACAUUGGGACUGAGAUACGGCCCAGACUCCUACGGGAGGCAGCAGUGGGGAAUAUUGCACAAUGGGCGGAAGCCUGAUGCAGCAACGCCGCGUGGGGGAGGACGGUCGUCGGGGUGUAAACCGCUUUAGCCUGUGACGAAGCGUGAGUGACGGUAAUGGGUAAAGAAGCACCGGCUAACUACGUG
This 468-nucleotide ribosomal RNA is filed under the name uncultured bacterium. RNAcentral's name for it is "partial 16S ribosomal RNA". It matches the Rfam family "Bacterial small subunit ribosomal RNA", at positions 28 to 507 of the family's 1533-position model. The record is from RNAcentral.